AUUGAACGCUGGCGGAAUGCUUUACACAUGCAAGUCGAACGGUAGAGGGGGCAACCCCUUCGAGAGUGGCGAACGGGUGAGUAAUAUAUCGGAACGUGCCCAGUCGUGGGGAGUAACGUAGCGAAAGUUACGCUAAUACCGCAUACGAUCUAAGGAUGAAAGCGGGGGAGUCGCAAGACCUCGCGCGAUUGGAGCGGCCGAUAUCAGAUUAGGUAGUUGGUGAGGUAAAGGCUCACCAAGCCAACGAUCUGUAGCUGGUCUGAGAGGACGACCAGCCACACUGGAACUGAGACACGGUCCAGACUCCUACCGGGAGGCAGCAGUGGGGAAUUUUGGACAAUGGACGCAAGUCUGAUCCAGCCAUUCCGCGUGCAGGAUGAAGGCCCUCGGGUUGUAAACUGCUUUGUUACGGAACGAAAAGGUUUCUAUUAAUACUAGGAGCUCAUGACGGUACCGUAAGAAUAAGCA
This 468-nucleotide ribosomal RNA is filed under the name uncultured bacterium. Its description in RNAcentral is "bacterial SSU rRNA". It matches the Rfam family "Bacterial small subunit ribosomal RNA", at positions 30 to 492 of the family's 1533-position model. The record is from RNAcentral.